GCCGAUGCACCCUGAAGACUGAAGGAGCCAGGGCAGUGCCAGGAUCCUGCGAGCCACGGCCCUGGCUGCCCUGCUGAGCCUCCCGGAACCCAGGUCAUCAGGGAUAAAGAAAGCUUUUUAUGGCUCACUGACUGAGGACAGUCAAUCCCUUCACAAUCUGGAACCUGAAGAUUGGAUCUUCUGAGAACAUCAGAGAAAGAGUGCCCCUGCCAUCCACACUGCAGCAAACAUCAGAACCGUGAACCUUGGGUUCAUAAUCUCUCAACUGAGAAGGAUCCCUCCGCAUUCUUGAAACUGUACACCCAUCGGAACCCUUAAGGUGUCAAACUUUCUCAGUCAGAAGUUGAUAUAAGGAAGGGACCAUCUUCAGGUCUCCUUUGAAGCUCCCAGCCUAGCUUUCUUUUGAAUCUCUGCUCUUCAACCACAAUGAUUUAUGUACCUCAAGACCCCUCCACCUCCUGGCUGCCUGUGAUCUUCCUGCACCUAGCACUCAGCAAAGGGUCUGACAUUUAGAUAGCACUCAAUCAAUAUGAAGAAUUUAAAGUAUAGUGACAAGGUGGUGCCCACACUGGAUGGUCUGUAUGCUGUGGUCUCAUCAGGGACCUUUCUCUGCACCGCAUUUUUCCUGAGAAAUCCCAGAGUUCAGUAAAUACCUGUGUAUGUCAGAGCUAGACACAUCUGAUGCCUUUCUGGGACUGCUUAUAUUCUCCGUUCCCUAGGAAUGCAUAUCCUUGACCUGUAAUUGUAGGAUACAGGUGCAUUAUGGGUGCAGAUAUCUCAGUUUUGCAUCCUGCAAGAGUUAGUCUGGAGAUUGUUCACUCCACUCUGAGUAUUGCUGACACCUACAGCAUGUUUCCAGGGGACAAAAAUGGAAGGGGGUGACUCUGAUUGGAUAGUGAGAGGAACACGGGUAGCUCUGGGAAACUGACCAGGGAUAGGUGCCCAGGAGCACACAAGGCCCAGAAGCUGCUUGUGAGAAGUCAGGGAGAAGGAAGCCAAAACUGGAUGUAUCAGAGAGCCACUGAGUGCUCAUUAUGUGUAUCAGGAGUUAAGAAUCCAUCCUCUACAUGAAAAGAAAAGCUUAGACCAAACAUGUCUUCUACCUUAAUUUACAGUAACGUAAUAUGAAAUGCAAAACACGUAACAAUUUUGGACUGUAAAAAAAAGAUCAGUGUUUGAAAGAGUGCUGCACGUAUUGCUUUGCACUUUCAACAACGGGGAGGCGUUUCUCUCUGUAUGAAUUAUUAGCUCAGGAGGUCUAGGCUGGUGAAUGAAUGCAGACUUACAGGAUAAAUGUCUACUGGAUGCAUUCAAAAGGCCAAGCAACAUUUGGUUAAGGGGUAUUUGUGACGGCAUUCAGAGAAAAUGUUGAAAGCGUGUUAGAUUGUAUUUAUCAUUGUAAAUUCUGAUGCUCAUUUAAUUUCUUAACAGUAAUGCUAAUACAUGCUCUUAGUUAUAUGUCGAAUCAGUGCUAUGUCAAUAUGGGUCCUAUAACACAGAUCUGCAGUCUGCUCACCACUGAAUAGCUAAGAAUAGUGGCUUCAGACCUGAAUGGAUGACGACACCAAACACGAUGAUCGGGCAGCUCACUGAAAUACAGUAAAUCCAGGAGAGGUCCAUGUCCAACGGGCCACCUUAUACAAUAGCUUGGAUAUCCCCAUUUUCAUGGUUGUCUUCUUUCCUACGUGUAAACCACAUUAAACUUCUUUAUUAACUC
RNAcentral lists this long non-coding RNA (1717 nucleotides) under Macaca mulatta (Rhesus monkey). RNAcentral's name for it is "lncRNA (ENSMMUG00000049424.1)". The record is from RNAcentral. Lineage: Eukaryota; Metazoa; Chordata; Mammalia; Primates; Cercopithecidae.